AGUGAACAAUUAAACGGCCGCGGUACUCUAACCGUGCAAAGGUAGCAUAAUCAUUUGUCUACUAAUUAUAGACUAGCAUGAAAGGCAAAAUGAGGGUCUAACUGUCUCUUAUAGUAAGUCAAUUAAACUGAUCUACCAGUAAAAAAGCUGGAAUACACACACAAGACCAGAAGACCCUGUGAAGCUUAAACUAAACUAUUAAAAUUCUAUAAUAGCUACUUUCGGUUGGGGCGACCUUGGAAAAUAAAAGAACUUCCAAACAUAAUGAUUAUUUAUUAUCAUCCUCUAGGCCAACAAGCCAUAUAUGACCCAGCAAGCUGAUAAUUGAACCAAGUUACUCCAGGGAUAACAGCGCUAUCUUCUUCAAGAGUCCAUAUCAAAAAGAAGGUUUACGACCUCGAUGUUGGAUCAGGACAUCCUAA
RNAcentral lists this ribosomal RNA (422 nucleotides) under Xenodon matogrossensis. Its description in RNAcentral is "partial large subunit ribosomal RNA". It matches the Rfam family "Bacterial large subunit ribosomal RNA", at positions 1911 to 2550 of the family's 2925-position model. Lineage: Eukaryota; Metazoa; Chordata; Lepidosauria; Squamata; Dipsadidae. The record is from RNAcentral.